AUACGUAGGGGGCGAGCGUUGUCCGGAAUUAUUGGGCGUAAAGCGCGCGCAGGCGGUCCCUUAAGUCUGAUGUGAAAGCCCACGGCUCAACCGUGGAGGGUCAUUGGAAACUGGGGGACUUGAGUGCAGAAGAGGAGAGCGGAAUUCCACGUGUAGCGGUGAAGUGCGUAGAGAUGUGGAGGAACACCAGUGGCGAAGGCGGCUCUCUGGUCUGUAACUGACGCUGAGGCGCGAAAGCGUGGGGAGCAAACAGGAUUAGAUACCCUGGUAGUCCACGCCGUAAACGAUGAGUGCUAAGUGUUAGAGGGGGUUAAACCCUUUAGUGCUGUAGCUAACGCGUUAAGCACUCCGCCUGGGGAGUACAGCCGCAAGGCUGAA
This 378-nucleotide ribosomal RNA is filed under the name uncultured bacterium. RNAcentral describes it as "bacterial SSU rRNA". It matches the Rfam family "Bacterial small subunit ribosomal RNA", at positions 523 to 898 of the family's 1533-position model. The record is from RNAcentral.